This 210-nucleotide unclassified non-coding RNA is filed under the name Hevea brasiliensis (rubber tree). Lineage: Eukaryota; Viridiplantae; Streptophyta; Magnoliopsida; Malpighiales; Euphorbiaceae. The record is from RNAcentral.
UAGGGUUUGGGGUUUGGAGGGGAGAGAGGUAAGGGAGGGAAAGGGAAGGGAAGGAAAGAGAGAGAGGGAGGAAUCAGAAUGCAUUAAGGCUAGAGAGAGAGAGUUUGGCUCCAGAAGAAAGGAGUUUGUCUGAGUCGAAGAGGAAGGGAGAGAGAGUUUGGAGGAUUGGACAAGUACCAUUAGGGGAAGAACCUCAGAUUUUGUUGUUAG